UACACUAGCGAGCUUACCUCUCUUUCUCUGCCAUGGUCAUGUGAGGUCACAGUGAGAAGACAGCUGUCUAUGAACAAGGAAGAAGAGCCCACUGGAGAACCAAAUUGGCCAGGACCUUGAUCUUGGACUUUUCUGCCUCCGGAACUAAGCUGGAGGUCCCCCUAGCUGACUAAUGAAGCGAGUGGCUGCAGAGCGGCAAAUGCCCACCCCACCAGGCUGGGUGCUGCUUAAAAGCAGAGAGCUGAGAGUUCAUGAUCCACAGCACCUCACACUGACGGAACAUGUAAAUCACCCGAGGAAAAAAAAAAAGUCAUUGUAAUUGCUGAAUUCCAAGUGAAGAAUCUGACCCUGAAGAGAAGCUCAGGAAAUCACACGAGAUGAGAU
Equus caballus (horse) is the source of this 384-nucleotide non-coding RNA. Lineage: Eukaryota; Metazoa; Chordata; Mammalia; Perissodactyla; Equidae. The record is from RefSeq and is a predicted model, not a curated record.